RNAcentral lists this ribosomal RNA (2640 nucleotides) under Olea europaea subsp. europaea. Its description in RNAcentral is "Eukaryotic large subunit ribosomal RNA". It matches the Rfam family "Eukaryotic large subunit ribosomal RNA", at positions 665 to 1888 of the family's 3401-position model. Lineage: Eukaryota; Viridiplantae; Streptophyta; Magnoliopsida; Lamiales; Oleaceae. The record is from Rfam by way of RNAcentral.
ACCAAGGAGUCUGACAUGCGUACGAGUUAACGGGCGAGUAAACCUGUGAGGUGUAAGGAAGCUUAUUGGCAUGAUCUCCCAGAGGGGUGUAACGUCGACCGACCUCGAUCUUUUGAGAAGGGUUUGAGUGCGAGCAUACCUAUCAGGACCCGAAAGAUGGUGAACUAUGCCUGAGUGGGGUGAAGCUGAGGAAAAUCUAGUGGAAGCCCGCAGUGAUACUAACGUGCAAAUCAUUUGUCUGACUUGGGUAUAGGGACGAAAGACUAAUCGAACUAUCCAAUAGUUGGUUUCCUCCGAAGUUUCCCUCAGGAUAGCCGAAGCUCGGGCGCGAGCUCUAUCGGGUAAAGCCAAUGAUUAGUGUAGAACCCCAAAUAAUUCUAGACACCUUAGUGGCAUUAAGACAUGAAUAUUGGAUGACUAAAGUAUACUUCAGAUUUUUAGUCUCAUUUAAGACCCAUUUUCGACAUAGGAAACAUUUUAUUUGGAAAAUGAUAUCUAAAUAAACGUUGUAGAUCUUUGAGUUAGCUUUCCAACGCACUUUGAAUCACUUCAAUCAAAUAUCGGGAGAAGAAGUUAUGAUAGAAACACUGAAGGCUAUGCAGUGUCAACCGGACUACAACCGGUCGACCAUAACUGCCUAAAAUGAAAAUUCUCGUUUUUCUCUAGAAUUUAAAUAUUUAUUUUCAUCAAUUAUUUUCUCAAAGGGCCACCCACAUUUUUGGCAAUAAAAACCCCACUAAAUUGAAGCAUUUAAGCUCAAACUUAAAUGGCACCCAUGUUUUCUCUCUUAAAUGAAAUUUGACCCUUCAUUUGCUUUAAGUUAUGGGAUAUUUACCUAUAAAUAGAGACCUCAUUUCACUCAUUUUUCUCACACCAAAAGCAAGAGCUUUUACAUACUAAAGAAAGAGUUUCCAAGAGAGAAAAAGAGAGGGAGGAAAACUAUUUUUCCUAGAAGUUUAAGAAGUGUUUUCAAGCAUCAAUUCUCAACGGUUUUCAAACAUCCAAGGAGUGUAUUUCUUUCAACGUCCAAGUUUCAUCGAAGUUUUCAGUCCAAGUUUUCAAAAUUUCAAAAGCAUCAAUCAAGGUAGGUAGAGGUGCAAUGUAUUUAAUCGUGUUAGAUUCAUGUUAAUGUUUGUAUAUCAAAUGGUUCUCCGGUACGGCAUAUCCCUCUAUGUUAAUGGUUGUAUGUCAAAUGGUACUCCGGUACGGCAUACCCCUCUAUGUUGAAGAAAUGUUCGUAUGUCAAAUGGUGCCCUCGGGUACAGCAUACCACUUCAUGUCAAAUGGUGCCUCCGGGUACAGCAUGUAUGAAAAGUUAUAAAGUUAAUGUUUUGAAAUGUAUGGCUUGAUCACGAAUGCACCUAUGACACCUAUUGAGUUUUUCAACUCACGGGUUUAAUCCCAUCUCUACAGAUUGAAGGAAUUCUACCUCGGGCAUGGAUGGAGGAAAAGAUGGAGAGUGAUGCAACGAGUCCAUGAAAAUCUGGUGAAUAAGUGAUUUGGAUUUAUUUUUAUGAAAUGUUUUCCAAUGUUAUUUCUUUAAAGUUUUGAAUAAUGCAGAAUGCGAGAACAAGUUAUGUUUUCUUCAAAUAAAUUACAUUUUGUUGUUUUGAAAAAUGAUUCAGUGUUUUCCUUUAAAGUAUUUGAAGUAUUGUUAUUUAAAUUAUUAUCCGAAGAUGUAAGCUUCCGCUAAAAUAUAUACACUUGUUACUAAACCACCGAUUAAGCUAAGUAAAGUAAGUAGCAUUCUGAUCCACUAGGGGUCAAGGCGUUACAAUUAGAGGCAUGGAGGGCGCAACGCCCUUGACCUAUUCUCAACCUUUAAAUAGGUAGGAUGGCGUGGCUGCUUCGUUGAGCCACGCCGCGGAAUCAAGAGCUCCAAGUGGGCCAUUUUUGGUAAGCAGAACUGGCGAUGCAGGAUGAACUGGAGGCCGAGUUAUGGUGCCCAACUGCGUGCUAACCUAGAUUCCACAAAGGGUGUUGGUCGAUUAAGACAGUAGGACGGUGGCCAUGGAAGUCGAAAUCCGCUAAGGAGUGCGUAACAACUCACCUACCGAAUCAACUAGCCUCAAAAAUGGAUGGCGCUAAAGCGCGCGACCUAUACCCGACCAUCGGGGCAAGUGCCAAGCCCUGAUGAGUAGGAGGGCACGACGGUCGCCGUAAAACCUUGGGCGCGAGCUCAGGCCGAGCGACCCUCGGUGCGGAUCUUGGUGGUAGUAGCAAAUAUUAAAAUGGGGACUUUGAAAGCCGAAGAGGAGAAAUAUUCCGUGUGAAUGGCACUUGCACAUUAGUUUGUCAAUCCUAAGGGUCGGGGAAAGCCUGAUAGACAGUGCGUUUCGCGAGUGCACCGAAAAUGAAUCGGGUUAAAAUUCCUGAACCGGGAUGCGACAAUUGAUGGCAACGUUAGGGAGUCUGGAGACAGCGGCGGGGGCCUCAGGAAUAGUUAUCUUUUUGUUUAAUAGCCUGCAAACCCUGGAAAUAGCUUAGCUGGAGGAAGGGUCCAAUGGCUGGAAGAGCACCGCACGCCUCAUGGUGUUCGGUGGACCCCCGACGGCCUUGAAAAUCUGGAGGACCGAGUACCGUCUGCGCCCGGUCGUACUCAUAACCUCAUCAGGUCUCCAAGGUGGACAGUCUCUAGUC